Long non-coding RNA from Gymnodraco acuticeps, 848 nucleotides. RefSeq lists it as uncharacterized. The record is from RefSeq and is a predicted model, not a curated record. The transcript has 3 exons. NCBI's taxonomy places the organism in Eukaryota, Metazoa, Chordata, Actinopteri, Perciformes, Bathydraconidae.
UGGCUGAAUGUUUUUGUAACAGCUCAGGUUUUAUAACACAAUAUUGGAGAGUGCAGACAGCGACGUUUAUCUGCAACGGAAGAGGUUACAUGUUAGGUUAUACCGAAUAGAUACAAAUAAGGAAACAACCAUGGUCUGACUGAUAAUAAAAGCUAGCAUCUACGUGGUGAGGAAGAUCCGGGCCUCCAUUGAUGCAGGAGAGCAACUGGAAAAGCCCAUCACAACACCAUGUAGUGCUAGCGCUGGACACGAGUCAAGAGGAAGCAUUACUGCGGCCGCUCUGAAUCCAGCACCUGAGGAAGGUGUUGGUGGAGCAACAUGCUUGAUGACGUCCUCAGGAACGUCUGUGCAAAAUUCUGGCUCUUCCUGACGUUAAAUAUCAUGCUGGACACUGGAACUGUGGUCUCCGCAGUGGAUUUGGGCAUAACAGUAAAAUGGGAUAAUGGAUAAUUCAAUGUUGUAUAUACAGAACCGUUUACAUGUUAUGGUCAACAUAUAUUUGGCCAAACUAAAGUUGUACAAACAGACCCUUACGGACUUCUUUCCAGUGUCUAUGCUGUACUCGGGGACCAAUAUCGAGCUAAUGACACACAUCCUUUUUCACAGCACAUUUUGUCUUACCAUAGCAAAAUAACAGGAGCAACUAAUAACAAUGAGCUAACUCACAAAACAGGCACCUGAAUGCAAUCCAAACUGUAUGUUAUUAGUACCUGGUAAGUCAUCAUGUUUUCUGUGAGAAAAGCCUGUAUACUGCAGUUUAUGAAGGCCAACUCACCAACCUCUCUCCAGGGGCUGAGCAGGCCUGAUGUUUCUUCUGCUGUUACAAUAAAUAAAACGAUUAAAAAAAA